RNAcentral lists this microRNA precursor (62 nucleotides) under Drosophila mojavensis. Its description in RNAcentral is "Dmo-Mir-9703_pre stem-loop". Lineage: Eukaryota; Metazoa; Arthropoda; Insecta; Diptera; Drosophilidae. The record is from RNAcentral.
UAUUGCAUCUAUAGACUGAGCUUUGGUCUUUGUAUAGUGAGCCAGUCUAUACAUGCAGUAAA